UGGAGGGGCUGGCUCAGGAUGCUCGGGUCAAAAGGGUGGUGACGGAGGAAGUGCUUCAACAGCACUAAAUGCAUACGCUGGGGGAGGGGGUAAGUCUGGUUGUCCUGGAGGAGCUGGAGGAAAUGGCGGGUCGAGUGGUGGCAACAAUGGAAACAACGUUCGAGGAGGACAAGGAGGGUCGUCAACAU
This is a long non-coding RNA of Exaiptasia diaphana, 188 nucleotides long. RefSeq lists it as uncharacterized. The record is from RefSeq and is a predicted model, not a curated record. Lineage: Eukaryota; Metazoa; Cnidaria; Anthozoa; Actiniaria; Aiptasiidae. The transcript is spliced from 3 exons.